RNAcentral lists this ribosomal RNA (417 nucleotides) under Odontotermes feae. RNAcentral describes it as "partial 12S ribosomal RNA". The record is from RNAcentral. Lineage: Eukaryota; Metazoa; Arthropoda; Insecta; Blattodea; Termitidae.
UAAACUAGGAUUAGAUACCCUAUUAUUUUGAGUGUUAAUGUUUUUGCCUGAGUAGUAUUAGUUGUGUUCUUGAAACUUAAAGAAUUUGGCGGUAUCCUAUUCCGUUCAGAGGAAUCUGUCUCGUUAUCGAUAGUCCGCGUUGGACCUUACUUAGAGUUAUAUUUUUGGUUUGUAUACCGCCGUUUAUUGAUUAUCUUUUUAGAGUUCCUUAAUUUUCUGGUUUCUUUAAUUUGAUUUAUUGCAGGUCAAGGUGCAGCUUUUUCUAAGUGUAAUGAUGGAUUACAGUGUUAUGUGUUGUUUGGAUUGUUUAUUUUAAUAUUGACAUGAAAUUGGAUUUGGUUGUAAUGUCUUGUAGAUUGUUUUCAUGAUAGUUGGUUCUAGGAUAUGUACACAUCGCCCGUCGCUCUCAUUAAAAGA